Long non-coding RNA from Myotis brandtii (Brandt's bat), 1212 nucleotides. RefSeq lists it as uncharacterized. Lineage: Eukaryota; Metazoa; Chordata; Mammalia; Chiroptera; Vespertilionidae. The record is from RefSeq and is a predicted model, not a curated record. The transcript has 2 exons.
UUACAGACUUAAUAUUUAUGUUGUUAUUUUAAUAAAGUGUUCUAUUUUUAUAGAAAAAGCAUACUUGACUGCAUUGUGUGCUAAAUAUUCUGGCCUCAUCAGUUAUCUAUCUCUGGGAAAGUUACAAUGCCUGUCAGGCUCUGUCUUUUUCCCCUGAUGGCUGAUAAAUAAAUGGAAGAACACAAAAAUUGGCUCUUCUGGCCUGUGGACCUAACCCUUCUGAAGCGAUGGCUGAUAUCACUCUUCCCUCUCUUUCUGCUAGAGGCUGACACUUAUCUUACCCGGUUCACCAUCCCUCAGAUAUACAAUUACUCUGUUCUCCUUGUGGAUCCUGCUUCCCAUACACUUUAUGUCGGCGCCCGGGACACCAUCUUCGCUUUGUCUCUGCCCUUCUCAGGGGAGAGACCUCGAAGGGCCGUGUCCAGUUUCCAGCAGGUUGAAAGAAUUGAGAGUGGCCGGGGGAAAUGUCCUUUUGAGCCAGCUCAGCGGUCAGCAGCUGUAAUGGCUGGUGAGUGGGAGAGAUAAGAACCUGUGACUUCUUGCUGUAAUUGCUGCCUUCCCCACCCCUGCUGUUGGAAUUUCUGUGUCCUUUCUUUCGUUUGCUAGGAAUGUCUAUUAUUCCCAUGUCUCUUUCUAGCCUUUCCUCUUCUCCCCAGCGUGCCUGUGUCCUGUUUUUCUCCAGAGUACCAUUUCCCUGGGUUCUCCCUAGAGAAUAUGUUCUCUGCACCUCUAAUGUGUUUCCUCUGCUAACCUAAUCCCCCCGCCCCCAUUUUAUUUCUGUUCAUAAGAGGACUCUGCUACAAUGCAUAUUGUAAUACACUUGGAAAAAGUAUAAAGAACAUAUGAACAGAAAUGUUCGAAAGAACUUUGUGUGAUGAUAUGAAUGCUCUGUAUCUUUGCUGUCCAAAGUAGCCACUAGCUACAUGUGGCUAUUGAGCUUCUAGUGCGACUGAACGAAAGGGUUUUGGGUUGUAUUUAAUUUCAGUUUAAAUGUAAGUAGUCACAUGUGUAUAGUGGCUAAUAUAUUAGCAAAGGUCUAGAGUAUCUACUCAGAAAACCACUGUUAAUAUUUUAAGAUAUUUCCUUUUAGCCUGUUGUAAUGUGUAUGCAAGCGCAUAUUUUACUGGCCAGUCCUUUGUAGCUCAGAGGAGUCAGUAAUGACUAUUCAUUAAGUUCCUGCUGUUACUUCCUUUGAACAAGCCAUAUACAGUU